UGUAAGCUGGGAGGGACAAGUGGCUGGACACCUCGGAGAACUCAGAGCUUCUCUUGCCCUAUCUGUGGAACUCUCAGGCUGCUCCUGUAUGUUUGGAGCCGAGAGAGGAGUUUACUGAUUUUUAAAGAUACAAAGGAGAGGAGAGAGAACUGCAGACCCAGCGCGUCCUUCUGGUUCCAUGGGAGUGGCAUGCAGGCAGGCUAAGAAGAACCCUCCUUGAAGGCAAAGCUGGAGCGUACAGGAGGGGCCCGGGAGCAGGUCUUGUCCAGUUGCUGUCCUGAAAGUCUGUGCAGCCCUAGGGACAGGCCUGGGGACAUCCUUGGGCCUGGAGGGCUGAGUACGGCAACUGUCGCAACUAUGAGAGGGUACCCAGGGUACCCAGAGCAGGUCUGCGAGGCUUGUGGGGUCCAGUUCACCCUAAGGUAGGGCACUGGGAGACAGUUCUGUGGAACAGGGCCUGAUAGGGUGGGAAAUGGCGCCUCCUUCCAGCAUCCUCACAGCAGAUUUAACUGAACACACCUGCAAGGUGUCUUCAAAACUGCCCCGGCAAAUCUUCCAAUAGAGGAUUAGCCUCAUCUCUGGCAGACCGAUGAGGAAACAGAAUACAAGACUCUUGACUCCGUGGAACUCUGCCUCACCGCCGGUCCACAGCGAUGGAGCAAGCUGGCCCUGUACCGAAGGUGGGAGCCCAGAUACCACACUGCAGAACAUAUGGGCAGGAUAUCUUUGUGGACCUCAGAGCCAGGACACAAACCUAUCCCAGACCUCUCGACAGAAUGGUUGCCAGCUCUCUCAAGGGAAUGGCCCAAGAGAGUGAGGCAGGAGCCGCUGUGUCUUUUAUGACCAGGUCACAUGCUACCAUCUCACAACAGAUUAUGCAGAUGAGUGCUCAACAUGGGAGGGGACUUCUGGGGGUCCAGCUACCAGGAGAUGGGGUGUUCUGGUAAAGGCUAGCCGUCUCAGAGCAGUGGAAAGGGGUGUCAUGUGACUGGAAGACCAGGAUGAACAGGCUGGCUGCAGAGGUGAGAUCUGCUUCAGUCGGGUCACUCAGGUUCUGGCUCCGGUUCCAGGGUGGAGAGCCUUUCCUUCAUCCUGCCCAUCAGCCUCUGCCUAGGCUGCCAGGGAGCCAAGGCCUCCUCUGGGCACGGCUGGAUCCUGUUACACUGUCACAGAGCAAGACAAGAACUGUGGAGCCUGUGGCAGGAGACAAUGGCCUCCAUUGAGGAAUUAUGACGUAAAGGAACCAGUCUGCAGUCACCAGUGUGCAGAAACACAAUAGGUGUUUCAAGAGGGCCCAGGAGGUGCUCAGAGGAGACAAAGAUGCUCACUACCAUCCUGGCAUUCCCUCCCUCUCUGAGGUUUCCAACACUGUGCCAAGAGAGGAAUGUCUCUAGGAUCUGUCUGAAAAGGUCAGUUGUUAAAAAUCUGGCUUCUGACCUUCAUUCAGUUUGUCCUUUCCCGAUCUGCCUUCCAAGAGAAAGGCCCCCACCUAGGUGCUGGCAGUGGCGGGAAAUGUUAGGGAAAGGUUUAAGCGUGGCUUGUGACGGCUUUGUCUAUUUCCACAGCUCCUGCCUCGACACCUCAAGUCCAGCAGAGUACUGGGUGACAUCAUAUCUCAAGCACUUUGUGUGAAUGCAGACAUUUGUCAGCUGGGAGGAUGGGGACUGAUUUUGUUCUUGGGCUUGAGCUGAGCCCCCAGCCCCAGGGACUGGCUUUAUUGUUCUCAUAUGUUAAGAUAUGAUUCUGCAAUGCCGGCUGUGUCUAAGAACCAGAACACAGGGCAAGAAGUCCCUUUCUUAGGACCUUAGCCAGAAGACGCCAGCCCAGUUCUUCUCCUUUACUGUUCUGUAGAUUUGGGAAUUCCUGGUGGGAAUGUGGAGAAAGGGCCUUUGUGGGGAGACCUCUGUUGAUCUGGAACUAUAGGACUAGUUUCCCCUGCGAGGCCACCUGGACUGUUUGUGAUGACAGCUGUCCAGCUAGGCACAGGCAGCUAUUCUGACUGAGCUUAGCCACUUACGUCGGGUGUGACCUUUGUAAGGUAGUCUUUGGGUGAGGGCUUUGUGCAAGGGCUGGCUGGCAUUUCUGUGGGUGUUUCCUCUCCCAGCAAUCAUUUUGGGGAGCUGCCUGCCUUCUUCUGUCCUUCGUAGAAUCAGCAAGGACAUUGUAGGUUUCGGGAUGGGGAUACCGAACCUCAGUUUGCUCCAUGCCUUUAUUUACUUGAAUGUCUGAGGUCAGGAACAGCAAUGAGUAUGUGGAAAAAUCCCAUAAUUAAAAUCAAAUUUCAGUUGCAGGGAGAACUUUGACUUUGAAAGGAAAAUAGUUGACAAUAUUUGUAAAAGAAUAGCAAUCAUAUACUUGGGCAAACUGCUACUCCCCAGUUCCAUUAACCCGGCAAUUUCUAAUUGGAAUCUAGACUCUCAGAGCAUCUGUCAGAGACGUCCCAUUUACUCCCCUCUGGGCUUUGCCUGGUUCCCCGUCUACUCAGUUUAGUGUCUUGGGAUGAGGGAUUCUAAAGUCUGUACCAGUGGGUCCCUAAGAUGUUGUUCUAGCUGGUCCUUUUUGAUAGUACUUAGGGGACAGGGAGAGAGUCAGAAUGUCUCCUUCUCCCUAAUCCCUUCCUUUCUGAGUCCCUGUUUGUUGGGUCCAUCUCUUGCCUAAGGCCACAAUUUCUGGCUGGGGCCCUUUCUGUGCUGCCACCUUCUUUGAGUACCAGCAGUUGCCACUUCACCGAUGGGAGUGGCCCCCUGAUGUUGCUGGCCCUGGGGUGAGUGGCACCCUGGACUGUCUGUCUCCUAAACUGAUCUGCAUCUUUGCAUAUAGUCUUUGUUAAACUCUUCUCAGACUGCCCAGGCGAGUGUGCUGUUUGCCUUUCUAGGGUCACGGGUCCAGUCAACAUCUAAAGUCUUAUUUGCACAGCGUCUUUUCACUCUGUAGUGUUCUUUUCUUCUUUUGAAGGCGCAAGGAAAACUUGAAGCUACACUGGAAUUGGUGCUGUUUGACCUUGAAAGCCCAGAGCUGGCCUUUGAGGCUGGGGGCAGACUGGCUUUGUGCCUUCCUUCAGUGCAAGAACCAACUAACUGAGGAUGGCUUCAUCCCCCAAGGGGAAUAUCGCAGACUGCUCAGAAUAAACUCAGACUUAUUCUGAGAGGGGGAAGGGAAGAGGAAGGUGAGGAGUAUGGGGAGGGAGAUAAACAAUCUGUUAUUUUAUGUACUGCUGUGAACUUCAGAUUGCCAGAUUGGCAGGUGUGUUGGUGCACAUCUCAGAGGCAGGAGCAUUGCUGUGAGUUUGAGGUCAGCCUGAUGUACAUAGUGAGUCCAGGUUGGCCAAGGUUACACAGUGAGACCAUGUCUCAAACAACACCACCACCACCAACCACCACCAAUAAAAUACUAGGUCAAAUGUGUAGGACUGCAAUGUUCCUGCUUCCUAAGGGAGCCUGGGAGAAGGCGCCAGGGAGAUAACUUAUGCUUCAGAUUCCAGUGAAAGUUACUGAGGAGACGUCCUGAGUUAGGGACAAGUCAACAAAACCAAUACAGGUAGGGCAUCCAGUGGGAUACUGGGUUGCCCAGAAUAGAAGGACAUCACCUGCUCAUAGAGAUGAGGAGAGCUUGAAAGUGUCUGCUAAAUUCCCACAUUUGGAACUUAAGUUUCAAAGUAUCUGUGUAGCAAGUCAAGAUCUCUGCCCUCAGGGCUUAACUAGUUGUCCUGGGGGUAGGUAUUUUGCAUUGACAGUAAAACUGGCUUCAACCCCGA
Non-coding RNA from Myodes glareolus (Bank vole), 3754 nucleotides. Lineage: Eukaryota; Metazoa; Chordata; Mammalia; Rodentia; Cricetidae. The record is from RefSeq and is a predicted model, not a curated record.